Molecule: ribosomal RNA, 440 nt
Filed under: uncultured bacterium
Lineage: Bacteria
Description: bacterial SSU rRNA
Rfam family: Bacterial small subunit ribosomal RNA
Source: RNAcentral
CCUACGGGGGGCAGCAGUGGGGAAUAUUGCACAAUGGGGAAAACCCUGAUGCAGCAACGCCGCGGGAGCGAUGAAGGACUUCGGGUCGUAAAGCUCUGUCCUAAGGGAAGAAUACUGACGGUACCUUAGGAGGAAGCCCCGGCUAACUACGUGCCAGCAGCCGCGGUAAUACGUAGGGGGCUAGCGGUAUCCGGAAUUACUGGGCGUAAAGGGUGCGUAGGCGGCCCUUCAAGUCAGAGGUGAAAGGCGACGGCUCAACCGUCAGAAGCCUUUGAAAAUGUAGGGCUGGAGUGCAGGAGAGGAGAGUGGAAUUCCCAGUGUAGCGGUGAAAUGCGUAGAUAUUGGGAGGAACUCCAGUUGCGAAGGCGGCUCUCUGGACUGUAACUGACGCUCAGGCACGAAAGCGUGGGGAGCGAACAGGAUUAGAUACCCGGGUAGUC